GUACUGAUGAAGAGUCCUGGUAACUAGGGCGAAACGGCUGUCCAGUAC
This 48-nucleotide non-coding RNA is filed under the name Trichobilharzia regenti. Lineage: Eukaryota; Metazoa; Platyhelminthes; Trematoda; Strigeidida; Schistosomatidae. The record is from RNAcentral.